GCCUGGGUGGCUCAGUUGGUUGAGCAUCCGACUUCUACUCAGGUCAUGAUCUCACAGCUUGUGGGAUCCAGCCCCACAUCGGGCU
RNAcentral lists this transfer RNA (85 nucleotides) under Felis catus (domestic cat). It matches the Rfam family "tRNA". From Rfam's summary of the family: Transfer RNA (tRNA) molecules are approximately 80 nucleotides in length. The record is from Rfam by way of RNAcentral. Lineage: Eukaryota; Metazoa; Chordata; Mammalia; Carnivora; Felidae. RNAcentral also lists the same sequence under 1 other name.